AUGGGGUUGAUGCAAGAUCAAAUCAGACUGCAGAAGCAACACAUGAUGUUACCACAGUGUUCAGUAAUGUGCAACGAAAUUUGUGAAAAUGUACUUUGUUUGCACAUCGAAUGUUUGCAAACCAUUGCUCCGCACUACUUGCCAUCCCAAUUCUUGAUUCGUGCAGGAGCCGGCCGCUUCUCAGCUAUUUGGAUAUUUGAGCCGUUCCAUGCAAUCUGCCAACCUGACGUGCCCUUAUCAAGGCCGGCCGUUUUUACACCGCAAGGGAUAAAAACCAGCGCCGGACGAAACCUAGCCAUCGCCUCGCACUCGUGCCCCUCCCCUUCGCACUUUCAGCUGCCGCCGCUGCCAUGCUCCCACCCUUCUCCUCCCGUGGCCUCUUGUCGCUGGGCCGCAUGGCUGCGGCGGUCGACCUCCUCCUCGGCGCUCAAUAAUCACACGGGUUGGACAAGAGGAUCUGAGGUGAGCCCAUCCCCCUCGCCUUGUCCUUGUGUACUCGUUCUUGCUGCUUGUGCGCCGGUCUGUUUCUGUGUUCCUCGAUCUGUUGGUCCACUGUGUGCGGGUGCUCGUGGUUCUGGUCGGUUCCUCCUGCCGCGUCUUCAGUCACCGCUCUGCAGGUCGACCCCUUUUCUCCUUCUCUUCUCAUCUCUCCAGGCCUGUGCUUGCGUUCUUGCAGCCGUGUAUCUUCCUUGUGCUCUUAUUGGUAGAAGCCUGGCAUCUAAGAGCAGUAUCAUUUUCUGCUUUUGUAGUGGUUUGCUGUCGGCAAGAUGCAGUCAUUUGUAUGGGAUGCCAGCUGUUGAUUUUCUGUUGGUCUUAUGUGCCACUGGUUGCUUGCAUGCCCCUUUUCUAGUUAUUAGGGAGAUGGAGCAGUUCCAGCAGAGAGUUAGUUGUCUUCCAGUCAAAACUCAAAGCGCUGGGUGUGAGUCAGGUCCAGUACGGCAGGCCGGAGCUAAAGUACACCACGCGCACGAGUCUAAGCAGCUCGAUGGCAGGCGGGAAUGUCAAGCACACCGGGGCACCUUGUAUCGGUUGAUGGGGGGCCCUGCGGGAGAAGGCCUAGUCCAUCAGCUCCUCCGGCUCCAUGGACCCACCCGCCACCCUGCUCUGCCUGUAAACGGUAUUCAGUGCCACCUCCAUCUCCAAGCAGCGAGCGUCGAGGGUCUCUUUGUCCACCAUCGCGCUGGCGCCGGCUCCGCCCGUGGUCAGCAGCUCGCUGUAGAUAACGUAGUGCCCGGGGAUGCUCUUUGUGCACGCCUGGCUGAAGACAUGGAUGGCAGCACACAAAGAAGAGGCACCUCGAAGAAUAGUUGCAUCCUGGAAGAACAGGUGCACUGCUGCCACCAUUAUCCGCGUACCUCCCUCCUACGUUUCUCUCCUCGUGCGCAGCUCGACGUGCUUGUGGGCCCUUACUCUUGUUCGCGAGCAUCAGCAUUUGGAAUGUGUGUGUGUGGCCGGCGACGCGCUCACCCGACGCCCCCGGACCUGGUGCGGGGCGCAUGCAUCCUGCUGGACGACGUCGUAGUUAUCGCCGACACCGUCGUAGGCUAUGCCAGGAUCCGGCGGUGGAGGAGCGUGGACGUCAUCGAAGCGCCUAGUAGUCGAGCCGAUGCAGUAGAGCAAUCCGUCGACGCGACGGAUUGA
RNAcentral lists this ribosomal RNA (1641 nucleotides) under Triticum aestivum (bread wheat). RNAcentral's name for it is "partial small subunit ribosomal RNA". Lineage: Eukaryota; Viridiplantae; Streptophyta; Magnoliopsida; Poales; Poaceae. The record is from RNAcentral.